AUCAUUAGCUUUUCUUGGGAUCUCAAAGGACCCUGUGCAGCAGGCCACUAUUUGAAUGUGUGUUGCUCCUUGUGGCAGGUAUACUGUUCCAAUGCCCUGGGAUCUCUGUAGUGGUCGGUACUGUAUUGAUUAUAAAUGGUGAAGUCCUAGUAUCUUGCUAGAGUGAGCUGGCCAGGAUGGUGGAGCUCUACCACCAUUUCACAGGUUAUAGACAGGGGCCACCAGGUUUCAGGAAAGCAGCAAUGACCCCUCAGUAAUAGUUGGAAAGUGUGAUAUGACACUGAGCUUCACUGUGUUGGUGAAGAAGAGCUGCAGUUUGCCUCCACCUCUGAAGAAGCACAAUACACCUUUCUGGGUUACCAAUGGGAUACUUCCCAACAGCUUUGUCAUCACAUACAAUAUUCUCAAACAAGAUCUUAAUGGCAUCUACUUUCUCCAGGAACACAGCCCCUGACCUGUGUGUGUUUGCGUAGAGAAGGCAUGCUAUGUACCCCCUAGGAUAUCAAGAUUCCUGUAGCAGAUUGAGCUCUGGCAGUUGAUCUCAGUGGCUUGAUAGAGUGUCAUUAUAAAAACGCACCUGGAAGAUUCUGUGGAAAAGACAACCUCAGAAGACCAAGAGGCUGACUUUGCAAGAGAGAGUCCGUUUACCACUUAGAACCGUGAACACCACCCCCGCCCUCAUUUAUCUCCAGACUUGAACUAGUGGUUAAAUCCCAACAUGUCCCAGAGAAGUCAAAAGCAUUGUAAAAUCUGGGAAUCUGCCCACCACUCAAGCCUGGGAAAGCUGGCAGAGGAUGCACGUGUUUUACUCACCUGAGUGUUUACAAUGCUCGUGAGGUGCCUCCCUGAUAGUACAGAGGAAUGAAGAAGGAAUAAACAGACCUUCUGGAUAAUUGCAUCAGCCUUCCCCACUAUUCCAAUGCCAUGCUAACAUUUCAAGUAAUGUCCCUUUUGUCUUGCUGAGAAAAAAUCAUUUCAUGAUUUAUUACACUGGAUUAAAGGCUAUGCACACUCUGGAGUUGGAACAUGACUGAAGGGCAAGCAAGCAUAAAGGAUAUCAGAAACAGUUGAUGUGUUUAAAUUUUUCUGAAUUUCUCAAGUAAACUUUUUAGAAAGUAGUCUGAAGAUAAAAUGGUUAUAUAAGUUACUUAAACUGUAGAUGAUGGCACCUUUAUCCCUAUAUAAUAAAAUUAAGAUUUGUAGGUUAAACCUUGGAUAUUCCCAUCUGAGCAUCUGUACCAAACAGAAAAGACCUGUGUGAGUUCCUGAGAACCAGUGCUCAUUCCAGAAGAGACAGGUUUCUCUCCAGGAAGAAAUGUCUGAAAUUCAGUGAAUUAAAAUCCUCAUUGAGUCUU
Molecule: long non-coding RNA, 1355 nt
Filed under: Homo sapiens (human)
Lineage: Eukaryota; Metazoa; Chordata; Mammalia; Primates; Hominidae
Description: long intergenic non-protein coding RNA 616
Source: RNAcentral